GUGAUAGAAUAACAGGUUCUGGAUUCACUGAAGUCCCCUUCAGACACCUGUGUCAGUAAAAGGGGGAAAGGCAAGCAAAACGCCAAGGCUUACCAAGUGCAAUAAAUCUGGACCUCAAACUCCAGUCUCAAAUGUUGCUUCUCCUUCCGGCAAUAAUCUCACUCCAGCUGGCCCUUGCCGUUAUGACAGCUCUCUUGGUCUCUUGACAAAAAAAUUUAUCAAUCUGAUCAAACAUGCUGAAGAUGGUACUCUUGAUCAAAAUAAAGCUG
Molecule: long non-coding RNA, 269 nt
Organism: Corylus avellana
Lineage: Eukaryota; Viridiplantae; Streptophyta; Magnoliopsida; Fagales; Betulaceae
Source: RefSeq, a predicted model, not a curated record